RNAcentral lists this ribosomal RNA (406 nucleotides) under uncultured bacterium. RNAcentral's name for it is "partial 16S ribosomal RNA". It matches the Rfam family "Bacterial small subunit ribosomal RNA", at positions 29 to 526 of the family's 1533-position model. The record is from RNAcentral.
AUUGAACGCUGGCGGCAGGCCUAACACAUGCAAGUCGAGCGAGAGGCGGACGGGUGAGUAAUGUCUGGGAAACUGCCUGACGGAGGGGGAUAACUACUGGAAACGGUAGCUAAUACCGCAUACCAUCAGAUGUGCCCAGGUGGGAUAAGCUAGUGGGUGGGGUAACGGCUCACCUAGGCGACGAUCCCUAGCUGGUCUGAGAGGAGGACCAGCCACACUGGAACGGGGACACGGUCCAGACUCCUCCGGGGGGCAGCAGUGGGGAAUAUUGCACAAGGGGCGCAAGCCUGAUGCAGCCAUGCCGCGUGUGGGAAGAAGGCCUUCGGGUUUUAAAGCACUUUCAGCGGGGAGGCGUUACCCGCAGAAGAAGCACCGGCUAACUCCGUGCCAGCAGCCGCGGUAAUAC